GAGUUUGAUCAUGGCUCAGAUUGAACGCUGGCGGCGUGCUUAACACAUGCAAGUCGAGCGGUAACAGGCGUAGCAAUACGUGCUGACGAGCGGCGAACGGGUGAGUAAUGCUUCGGAAUCUUCCUCGUAGUGGGGAAUAACCUGGGGAAACUCAGGCUAAUACCGCAUACGAACUACGGUUGAAAGCAGGGGAUCGCAAGACCUUGCGCUAUGAGAUGAGCCGAAGUCGGAUUAGCUAGCUGGUGAGGUAAAGGCUCACCAAGGCGACGAUCCGUAGCUGGUCUGAGAGGACGACCAGCCACACUGGGACUGAGACACGGCCCAGACUCCUACGGGAGGCAGCAGUGGGGAAUAUUGGACAAUGGGGGCAACCCUGAUCCAGCGACGCCGCGUGUGUGAAGAAGGCCUGCGGGUUGUAAAGCACUUUUAGUGGGAUGAAAAGCCGAAAGGCUAAUACCUUUCGGUCUUGACCUAACCCAGAGAAAAAGCACCGGCUAACUCUGUGCCAGCCGCC
This 514-nucleotide ribosomal RNA is filed under the name uncultured Gammaproteobacteria bacterium. RNAcentral describes it as "bacterial SSU rRNA". It matches the Rfam family "Bacterial small subunit ribosomal RNA", at positions 9 to 516 of the family's 1533-position model. The record is from RNAcentral. Lineage: Bacteria; Pseudomonadati; Pseudomonadota; Gammaproteobacteria.